GGUGAGCAAACUGAGUCCAAAAGACACCAAGAGCUUUGCUGGAAGUCACCCCUGCGGAAUGGUGGAGCCAGGAAUUCAAACAACCCCUGAGGGGUACCAGGGACCCCCCUGAAGCCUGCCCCCGUGUUUCCAGAACAGAAGCCCGGCCAGAAAAGCAGCUGGAAAGUGCAGAAUAGAGAUUUGUCAGAAGAAUGAAAUCGACAAAUCCACGCCUGUUCGGAGAUCCCCCAGCCCCGCACGCACCAGGAAUCCAUCACUGAGGAGUGCUAUGAUUAUGCUCUGGUGUCGCCACCAUGGCCACCCAUUUAUGGCCUUCCUGUGCAAGGGGGUCAUUAAUGGCCACAACCAGCAGCCCUGCAGGGGCUCAUCCACCCUAACUAAGGCUAAGAGCGAGCUAGGAACCCCACUCCCAGGGCAGCACUUCAAACGUCAUCAACACCGGGCCUUUCCCUGAGGGCUCCUCAGCUGCCAGUCAACAAGCCCUGCUACUGGGACAGAGUCGGGGAAGAAGGGAAGGG
RNAcentral lists this long non-coding RNA (518 nucleotides) under Marmota monax (woodchuck). The record is from RNAcentral. Lineage: Eukaryota; Metazoa; Chordata; Mammalia; Rodentia; Sciuridae.